GUAGGUGGCAAGCGUUGUCCGGAAUUAUUGGGCGUAAAGCGCGCGCAGGCGGUUCUUUAAGUCUGAUGUGAAAGCCCACGGCUCAACCGAGGAGGGUCAUUGGAAACUGGAGAACUUGAGUACAGAAGAGGAAAGCGGAAUUCCACGUGUAGCGGUGAAAUGCGUAGAGAUGUGGAGGAACACCAGUGGCGAAGGCGGCUUUCUGGUCUGUAACUGACGCUGAGGCGCGAAAGCGUGGGGAGCAAACAGGAUUAGAUACCCUGGUAGUCCACGCCGUAAACGAUGAGUGCUAAGUGUUAGGGGGGUUUCCGCCCCCCUUAGUGCUGCAGCUAACGCAUUAAGCACUCCGCCUGGGAGUACGGCCGCAAGGCUG
This 373-nucleotide ribosomal RNA is filed under the name uncultured organism. RNAcentral's name for it is "partial 16S ribosomal RNA". It matches the Rfam family "Bacterial small subunit ribosomal RNA", at positions 527 to 896 of the family's 1533-position model. The record is from RNAcentral.